CCUCCAUCUCUCUUUUGAUAUUCCUCCUUGUCCUUCCUGCAUUUCACCUUUUCACACUCAAAAGAGUCAAAACCUCAAACUACAACAACAAUGCGUGAGCCUGUACCAGACGACGUCGUGGAAGACAUCCUGGCUCGGCUACCUGUAAAAUCCUUAACCAGAUUUAGGUACGUUUCGAAAUCUUGUAACUCCAUCGUCACUGACACAACUUUCAUCAAAAAACACUUGAAGCUCAACCUCAACCAAUCCGAAUCAUCAAUAUCCGCAAACACUCACAGUGGGUAUUUGCUAUAUACUACAGAGGAUAAGGAUGGUUCAUCAUCUUCCAAAGAAUUGUGUACGGUUGUUCGCAACAAGGACCGCACAUGGACCCAGUUUUCUAGGUUUGAAAUCCCGUCUUUUUUUGACAAGUACAUGAUUUUUGCUUUCUGUAAUGGCUUGUUCUGCCUAGCUAGUUGUGAGAAAGAACUUUGUCACAUUAUUUAUUUGUGGAACCCAAGUAUUAGAAUGUGUAAGAAACUUGGAGCUACUCGCUUUAAUCGCAAGUAUAAUGAAAGAGCCGCUUUUGGGUUUGCUUAUGAUUCUCUGAACAACGACUUCAAGAUUCUGAGAGUUGUGUGUCAUGCGAUGUUCAAUGAAUCAGAAGCUGAAGCAGAGAUUUACACGUUAAGUUCAGAUUCGUGGAGGAAGGUUGUAAUAUCAAUGCAGUCCUUAAGAGGGUGUGAAGUGACUGAACCCAAACUUGGGACUAUUUUUGGUGUUUGGGGUCCCUUUACAUUUUAUAAUGGGGCUCUGCACGCUUUUGCUCAUACUAUUGGCUAUUCUUUCAUUUUGUCCUUUGACAUUAGUGAUGAGAGCUUCCAUGAGAUAAUGAUGCCUCGUAAUCACUAUGAUUCAGACGCUACAAAUUUCACUAAACUUGCAGAGUACAAGGGAUUGCCAGCUGAUUUUGUUUUCGCUCUUGAUGAUGGCAAUAAGCCUUUUGGGAGAAACUUAUGCAACAUAUGGGUUAUGGAGAAGUACGGUGUGGCCAAGUCUUGGACUAGAAAAUUUGUGAUACCAAUGGAAUGGGUUUGGGCAGGUAAUUUCUUUGGCUGCACUAACAAUGGUGAACUUCUCAUUAAGAAUGCCACUGGGCUGGUUUCAAUUGACCCUGAGAGUCAAAAUCAGAACAUUCUCGACAUUGAAGAUGCUAAUUGGGUGGCUUUCUCAACUAAUUCAAUGGAGAGCUUGGUUUUACUUGAUGGGGGCUCAUUCAUCACUCAGAAUGUUUACACAGAGAGAGAGAGAGAGGAGGAGGAGGAGAAAAAGAACUCCAAUGUUUGCUCCAUGGAUGACCUAGGCGGUGCUUCGGGCAGCGGUGGUGGCCUAGACAGUGGCAGCAGUGGCGAUUGCCACAGCAGGGCGACUUAAUAAAAAUUAAUUGGAAAAAUCCUUGGUCUCAUUAGGUUCCUUUACACUGGUGGUUAGUGAUUAUAUUUCUGCUAGCAAGAGCAGUUUUGAGUGGCAAAGCUUUAUAAAGAAGCUGCCACUAAAGAGAUCAAGGAUUAUCUUAAUCCUUGAAUUUUCUUAUAUAGUUAUAUAGUUAUCUAUGUGUUUGGAGAACACUCAAUUUAGGGAUGAACACAAUUUACUUUCGUAAAAUUAAGACAUAAAUUGUUGCUCUGUUUUUCAUACAUAAUAGAUGUAAAAAUAGUAUUUCUAUCUAAAUUAUGGGCAUAAGUUUUUUUGCAUUGGAAUUAGAUGUUACUGUUACAAAGUUCAUAAACCUAAACCAACAUUUUGUUCUUGGAACUUGAUGUGCUCUAGGUAAAAUAAUUCUUUUAAGAAUAUGUUAAGAAAUAGAGCUGAGCUAAUGAUUCUUUGUACAGAACGUAGUAAUGGUAAGCAUCUAAAAGGAUGCUUAGUUUUGCUGUGAUUUUCUUUUGUUCAUUCACAAAAUGCUUUUUGGACUCUCCUCUAAUAGCAAACAAAACUGAGUCUAGGAAAGAUUUGAAAACUAGAAACAUACUUGGUCUAUGGUAGUACACCCUAGAACACAUCAAACUUGGGUCUAUAGUGAUACUUCUGCCGAGCAAUAGCCAAUGCAUGCUUUACACGCUAAAUAUCUUAAAACCUUAGUUCCUUUUAGAAAGCAGUUUCUCCUUGAUGUUAGUAAGAGAAAUACAACAAUGUAGGGCAAGAACAAAAAUUUUGGUAUGACAAAACUCAACUUAUAGAUUUCUGUAGUUUGUAUUGGUAUCCUGGACAGGCAAUGUUGACACCAACCUAUUCCACUUCUAAGCUAAAAGAGAAUCUCCCAAAUCACAUACAUGAUGCAAUUGUUAUUUCAUAAUCUUGGCAAUCUUGUGAAAUGCAUGUGUCAGAAGGAGAAACACUAUAAACAGAACAAUUUUCACAAUAUUUCUCACAAAAAUUGAGCUGAGAGGUUUUUAUUGAUUUUUGUUUGGGCUAAUCACCAACAUCACUUUACUUUUUACCAUUAAUAACUUGCCACUUUAAUAUUUGUAUAUAUUUUGUGAAAAAAGGUUGUCUCUAGAGCUCUUGAAUGGGUAAAGAACCUUUCUGAGCUUAGUGGGAAAAGGCAGUUGGCAACCUCUUGGGAAAGAAGUUGCUUGUACAGUUGCUGGGUUUGGAGUUGUGUGUGCGUGGGUUUUUCCUUUCUAAGGUGAGAAGAUAUUGAAAGAGGGAGAGAUAAACAGAUCAUAAAGAAAGGGGAUUUGGUUCCAUUUUUGGUAUUUUUAGCUAACACACUAUAGGAAAAUAGACUAAUGAUGCAGACCUAUACACCAUAGACAAAACCAAUUUUGCCAAAAAGAAAAGCUGCCUCCUCCAUUCAAUUCCACCAAGCUGAGCUAUUUGAUUCAAAAGUAGUGACUAAUCUUUUGGACAUCAUUCUCACAAAGUUUUCAAUGCAACUGACAUCAAUUCAAUACACAAACAUGAAGUUCGUAUUGUUCUGCUGGAUGAGAAUGCUGAUGUGGAGGACUUAGACAAAGAUAAUGAGCUACAGUCUUCAAUCUCAAGUAAACAACAUUCAUUCCUAAAUAGGUGGUCACCUUGUGUGAUAUGGCGAUGUCAACUUAUGAAGGUUUUACGACUUAAGACAAUGGAUGCUUGAGAACCUAAACCUUUGGUAGAGUAAGAAGUGUGGACCAGAAACAGAAUUAGAAGUAUAAGGAGUGAAGAGAGAGAUCAAUUUUUAUGACAUAUAAUAAUAUUUUUUCAUUAUUUCAUGACAUAUAAUAUAUGUGUUUGCUUCAAUUGGAAUUUAUUGUAGAUGUGAGAUUUAUAUUAUGGGUGAAAGCUAUAGUAGGUUCUAUACUUGAUCUUAUAUCACUAUUCAACGUACUGGCUAGAACAUGCCUUGCACAUGCGGCCCAAACUAGU
Molecule: RNA transcript, 3390 nt
Organism: Quercus lobata
Lineage: Eukaryota; Viridiplantae; Streptophyta; Magnoliopsida; Fagales; Fagaceae
Gene name: F-box/kelch-repeat protein At3g23880-like
Exons: 8
Source: RefSeq, a predicted model, not a curated record